GGGGCCGUAGCUCAGUUGGUAGAGCGUCUGCUUUGCAAGCAGAAUGUCAUCGGUUCGAUUCCGUUCGGCUCCACCA
Molecule: transfer RNA, 76 nt
Filed under: Parasutterella secunda
Lineage: Bacteria; Pseudomonadati; Pseudomonadota; Betaproteobacteria; Burkholderiales; Sutterellaceae
Also listed under: 2 other names
Description: tRNA-Ala
Rfam family: tRNA
About the family: Transfer RNA (tRNA) molecules are approximately 80 nucleotides in length.
Source: RNAcentral